This 29-nucleotide non-coding RNA is filed under the name Homo sapiens (human). The record is from RNAcentral. Lineage: Eukaryota; Metazoa; Chordata; Mammalia; Primates; Hominidae.
UGAUAAAGACUAGACAUUGAAUUUGCUGU